This 945-nucleotide ribosomal RNA is filed under the name Staphylococcus epidermidis. RNAcentral describes it as "bacterial SSU rRNA". It matches the Rfam family "Bacterial small subunit ribosomal RNA", at positions 1 to 916 of the family's 1533-position model. Lineage: Bacteria; Bacillati; Bacillota; Bacilli; Caryophanales; Staphylococcaceae. The record is from RNAcentral.
GGCCGCGGGAAUUCGAUUAGAGUUUGAUUCUGGCUCAGGAUGAACGCUGGCGGCGUGCCUAAUACAUGCAAGUCGAGCGAACAGACGAGGAGCUUGCUCCUCUGACGUUAGCGGCGGACGGGUGAGUAACACGUGGAUAACCUACCUAUAAGACUGGGAUAACUUCGGGAAACCGGAGCUAAUACCGGAUAAUAUAUUGAACCGCAUGGUUCAAUAGUGAAAGACGGUUUUGCUGUCACUUAUAGAUGGAUCCGCGCCGCAUUAGCUAGUUGGUAAGGUAACGGCUUACCAAGGCAACGAUGCGUAGCCGACCUGAGAGGGUGAUCGGCCACACUGGAACUGAGACACGGUCCAGACUCCUACGGGAGGCAGCAGUAGGGAAUCUUCCGCAAUGGGCGAAAGCCUGACGGAGCAACGCCGCGUGAGUGAUGAAGGUCUUCGGAUCGUAAAACUCUGUUAUUAGGGAAGAACAAAUGUGUAAGUAACUAUGCACGUCUUGACGGUACCUAAUCAGAAAGCCACGGCUAACUACGUGCCAGCAGCCGCGGUAAUACGUAGGUGGCAAGCGUUAUCCGGAAUUAUUGGGCGUAAAGCGCGCGUAGGCGGUUUUUUAAGUCUGAUGUGAAAGCCCACGGCUCAACCGUGGAGGGUCAUUGGAAACUGGAAAACUUGAGUGCAGAAGAGGAAAGUGGAAUUCCAUGUGUAGCGGUGAAAUGCGCAGAGAUAUGGAGGAACACCAGUGGCGAAGGCGACUUUCUGGUCUGUAACUGACGCUGAUGUGCGAAAGCGUGGGGAUCAAACAGGAUUAGAUACCCUGGUAGUCCACGCCGUAAACGAUGAGUGCUAAGUGUUAGGGGGGUUCCGCCCCUUAGUGCUGCAGCUAACGCAUUAAGCACUCCGCCUGGGGAGUACGACCGCAAGGUUGAAACUCAAAGGAAUUGACGG